CCUGCCCCACACACAACAGCUGUGCCAGUUCUUGGUGGGGAGGGAAAGGGUGAACUACAGAGUUGGAAUUACAGAAUAUCCUAAGAUUUCAGGAACCCACCAGGAUUACUGAUCCAAGCUCUGGCCCUGCACAGACACCCCAACAAUCCCAUCCUUUGCAUCACUGAGGAAAUUGUUCAAAUUCUUCUUGGAGUUUGGCAGCCUUUGGGCUGUGCCCAUUUCCUGGGGAGCCUCAUCAGCACCUGACACCCUCUGGGGAGGAACAUUUUCCUGAUAUCCAACCUGAUAACCCCAGCUUUAUCUUUGGCUGGAUUGUACUACCUUGGGAACAGGAGUCUUGGAACAGAACAGCACUGAUGCAGAGACUGUCAGUCAGGGAGAAGUCAGUCUUGUUCUUCCUUUAAUCAUGUGGGCUUUCCCCUCUCCAAUUCUUGGUGACUUUCCUCCUACAGGAAAUGAGUAGGAUCUUCUGGCUCUGACUAUUAUAACAUUUUACCACAA
Molecule: non-coding RNA, 501 nt
Organism: Taeniopygia guttata (zebra finch)
Lineage: Eukaryota; Metazoa; Chordata; Aves; Passeriformes; Estrildidae
Source: RefSeq, a predicted model, not a curated record